This 3460-nucleotide small RNA is filed under the name Rattus norvegicus (Norway rat). RNAcentral's name for it is "uncharacterized LOC108352331". The record is from RNAcentral. Lineage: Eukaryota; Metazoa; Chordata; Mammalia; Rodentia; Muridae.
GUUAGGAGGUGUGGUUUUGUUGGAGUAAAUGUGUCCUUAUUUGAAUAAAUUCGUCACUGUGGGGUGGGGUUUGAGACCCUCCUAGCUUCCUGGAAGUCAUUGUACUCCUGGCUCCCUUUGGAUGGCAAUAUAGAACUUUCAGCUCCUCCAGCCCUGUACCCGCCUGCACACUGCCCUGCUUUCUGCCCUGAUGAGAAUGGAUUGAACCUCAGAACCAGUAAGCCAGCCCCAAUUAAAUGUUGUCUUCCUUAAGGGUUGCUUUGUCCAAGGUGUCUCUUCACAGCAGUGGAAAUCCUAACGAAGAUAAGACUGCACACUUAGGACGCAUUUGAGCUGGAUCUAACCUGGAAGCCCCUUCCUGACAACUGGGCUUCUCUAGUAAAAUCCUAUGCCAGCUGCCAAGGGAGGGAAGCAAUUAAGAGGUCUACAGAGCAGUGACACCUGUGAACUGCCACAAGGACCGACCAGACAUCACCACCGACUGGGACUCGCUGUGUAGAACCUGGGAUUUACAGGGAUCUCUCUGCUUCUGAUUCCUGGGUGCUGGGAUUAAAGGUGUGUGUCCCUACAUCUGGGCUAUCCCAGGUGUCUAUUAGAAUUGAAAGGACUAACUGAUAAAAAUGUUGACGAUCUUAGGAGGGUGGAGAAGGACUUCGAAGUGGUUCUCAGACUCAUGUUGAGGAAUUCCUCAGGACAUGUGUUCAGCGCGCUUGAUCCCUGAGUCUCAUUUCCUGAAAUUUGGAUUCAGUGAGUCUGAGACGUGACUCCAGGAAUGUGCAUUUUUAACAAGCGCCAUAUGCUAUGCUGAUGCUUUUGGUCUUAGGCCACAUUUUAGAAGCAUCUUAAGAAAGUUGCUUUAGGUUGCAAUUGACAGCAUGCUCCUGAGCUUUCACAGGGGGCUCGGGCUUUCUGGCACCGUGUAGAAUACAGAAUGGAUGCUGAUGGAAGAAAGGUGUGAACAGAGAAGGAGUGGAAGGCAGGCGCAGUGGUGCUCAGCUCAUAAUUUGGCUAUAUUUUCCAGCUUAAUUACAAAGCCAAUAUGAUCAGCCUUUUCAGAUACUCUGGGUAAUUAGAUGAAUUGAUACCUUUGAUGUUCCCCACUGGGAGGAAAAUAAAAGGGGAUGUUUUGCAUGACCCACGCUUAAUGAACAUAUGUUGUCUCUUAGUGAUCACCGCACUCCUUUCCGGGUGCUGGAGAAUCACGUACUUCAUCCGUCUGCACUGAGAAUUAAGCAGCGUCUUGUAUUAACCCCCAGAGUCUCUCUUCACUGUUUCCAUCUGCACUUGUAAAAAAGUUAGGGUGUAGGCUUAGGUGGCAUUGUAUGUCUUCCUCCCUCUUUCUUUCUCUCCGUCUCUGUCUCUCUCUGUGUGUCGCUCUCCCUCUGUCUGUGUUUGUGUGUAUAUUUCUAAGCUCAUGCAUGUGUCAUUGCGUGUGCUCAUGCUUCUAGAGGCUAGAGCAGUGGUUCACUACCUUCCGAAGGCUGGGACCCUUUAGUAUAGUUCAUUAUGUUGUAGUGACCUCCAGCCAUAACAUUAUUUUGUUUUUACUUCAUAACUGUAAUUUUGCUACUGUUAUGAAUUGUAAUAUAAAUAUCUAAUAUGCAGGCUAUCUGCUAUGCAAUAUCCAGAGGGGUUAUGACCCACGGGUUGAGAACCACCGGGCUAGAGGCUAACCUUGGCUAUUGUUCCUCGGGUAUCUCAUUUUUUCCCUUAAGAUUGGGUUUCCAACAGGUCUGAACUUGUCAAACCAACCAGCAAGCCCUAGAAACAUGCCAAUGCCUGACUCCUCCAUGCUGGAUUCCACGUAGGCACCACCAUGCCUGGAUUUUAAAUGGGUUCUAGAGACCAAACUACAAGACUCAUGCUGCAAGGCAAGGACUUUACCAAUGAAGCCAUCUCCGCAUCUGGCUGUCCUUGUUCCUUAAUGCUUCUUUCAAAUAAUAAAAAUCCAAGGGCCAGAUAAUUUGACCAGUGUGUACUUUUUAGUUUUCCCCUAAAUAUAUCUUUAAAGAAAUUUAAAGGAACACCAGAAAAAUCGCAGACAUUAGACAGCAUUAUCCAGAUUAAUGCUUGUUUGCAUUUUUCCAUUGGCUGGGUUUUUUUUUUCCUGACCCAAUGGAUUGUUGUACUUCUUCAGUCUCCUUUCACAGAACAACUCCUCCAAACUGUUUUCUGCCUCUCCAGAUGGUCGCUUGAGUUCUCAGAGUACACUUCCUAAUUUGUUUGUUUGCUUACUUUUUUUUUCAGUUUUCCUUUUUAGAUUGUGCAUAUUCAAGAAGUAAAAUCAAAGAUAAUUCACAAAAGUCAAAGCGAAACAUUGUUCCUGAAGGCAGAGGAGGGUUAUACUUAACUCUACACAAUCGGCAUGGAGAGGCUGGAGCGGGGCUGAAAGGAAGGAUCUAGCCCACUGAGGAGUCUAAGGACAUAAUAAAACAUUAAAGAACUUCUCCAGGCAAAGCCAUCUAAGAGAUCUGUCCCCACCCCCCAGGAAGGGGCCUGCCUGAUUAUCCCACUAGCAGAAACAGAGGUAGGGAAAAGUGGCCUGGAUACAAACUCACUGAUGGGUCAUUGAUUCCAGUUCCUCAGCUGUGAGGGGAGACCUAGGUGGUGACUCUCUCAGCUAUGACACCAAGCCCCCAUUUCAUUCUCUAGGUGGCUGUCUUCUUGUGGCUUGCAAAGGUAUGAAAGUCUCCCCCAAUCCCCAUCCCAACUUGGGGCAGACCUGGAGGUUUCCCACCGAGGCUCUGUGAAGACUUCAUCCCAGCUCAAUCGCGCACUUUUCUCCAACUGCCUUCUACUUUCCCUGGCCCUUGGUGCUCCUGAAUUUCAGAGCACUUUUCAGCGUAGCCAUCUGCAGGCACUGCUCUGAACUCUUGCUGCAUAUCUAGUCUUUAAAAUUUUGUGGUGUACAUGCCAACAGCAGCCUCCAUCCAAUUUAUUCCUGAGAAGACAUGCUCAAGAGAGUGGUUUCUCUACAGGGUCAGACACUUAGCAAACUGUUCAUCAUCUGUUGUGAUGAGCCUGGAGUUCGGCCCCCCGGGAAGCCGAGGUCACAGCCACGGGGAUGAGUGAACCGGCAGACUGAGUGGAAACGGAGCCACUGCUGCUCUAACCUGCUCCUGCCCCUGAUGCUCCGCAGAGCAUGCCUCUGAGCCUCGCCGCCUCUCUGUGUCCUACCUGCGCAUCAGGCACAACAGAGCUGACCUUUCUCCCAGUCCCACUGUGAGGAUGAAAUCCUACUGCAGAGCACUUUGAAAUCUUUGGAUGACAAGCAAGCCAGAAGCGCCAAGCAUGAUGGUUACCCGUGCCAGCAACACGAGAAGACAGCAUAAAAAUAGGAAGCGAAGAAAAUUUCAUUUUGUAAAAGCUUCAGUGAGAAAAUUGGCUGGUCAGAAUGUCAUUCUCUGUUUCUGGUUCACGUAGACAUUGGCUUUUAUAAAAUUAGGAGGGAAAAAAAAAA